AAAAUAUGCUGCACUGAUUUCUGGACCAUGUCAGACAUCAUUCAGGCCACCUGUGGCUCCAGUUCCUCACUAUUCACCACCAGAGACAAAUGCAGAUCAUCCUUUUUGGUUCCAAGCCCAAAACUUCCAGGGAAGGGCUCCCAUGAGCUCAGCUGGGGCAAGGUGCUGAAUUCUGGAGCAGUCACUGUCACCAGAAGGUGGGGCACUGUGGUUGGUGACCUCUGGAAAAAUCACCAGGAUCACGCAGCAUCAGAAAAUGCAACUACAAGGAUCGAGUAUAGAGCAACACAUUUUCCGGAAGAUAAGGAGCAGAGUCCUAAGGAGUUAACACGUCACCUAUAUUGGAGUCUUCAUAGAUGAAAUCAUGCUACUGGGGAGAGAGGGAAAUCGGAUACAUGAAGAGAAGUGAAGAGAAGUGAUCAUGGAUUCGCCAUCUUCAAGGAAUUGCGUGUCUCCUGGUUACUGCUUGGUGCUGUCCUCCCACUCCCGCACUCCUGACUGCGGUCCAUGUCUACCCUGGGGAUUCGUCCACCCAUUGGUGCUGUCAACUAAAGGCAACAGCCUAACCUGGGAGCCACUUCUUCCCACAAAUCCAUUUUCCUUCAAACAUCUCUUUUCUUUUAUUUUUUCAAUAAUAUUAAAUAUAUUUUCCCAUCAUUCUAGGCUAGAAAACUUGAAGUAAAUCUGAAUUUCCCUCUCACUGUUUAGGUUGAGUCUCCAAAUGCCAUUGGAUUUUUCUCUGCAGUUUUUCUCCUAUUCAUUGGUCCCAAGUUUGAUCCUGUUCCUUCAGUUCACAUGAAGUAAAUCAUUUUCCCAGUUCACUGUGUCAAUGUCUGCCACUUCCAAUUCCUUACACAAUUAUUCUCAGAUGAGUCUCCCUCAUACACACACUUGCACAUGACACUCUCCUGCUCAAAGCUCUCAGUGGUUUCCUGUUGCUUUUUGGGGGCAGGGAACUAAACUUAAAGAAAAGAAACUCUGGUCCUUUCUCUCUGGUACUGACCUAUCUCUCCAGAUUCUCCUGCCACUCUUGCCAAACUAGCCUAUUCAGUUUUCUCCAAACAUAUCUCUAGCUUUAUGACUUAGCUCCCCAAAUCUUCCCAGUACCUGAUAACAUGGAACAGAAAAUACCUGAAACCUGGUACAAAAUAGGCAGGCAAUAAAUGUCUGUGGAAUUAAUGAAAACAUACAGACAAAACAUUUAUUUCCUGAUGUCUUGUAAAACUGUAUCUUAGCCACAUUUCUCUUCAGAUUUGCAUUUACCAUAAAUUUUUGCUUGCUAUACAAACCAGCUAUACAGUUUCCCCAAAUUAAAAAAAAAAAAUCCACAUCCUGACCUAUCCACUCCAUAGACCCUGCUCCUCCUUUUGAGUUUCUAGCUCAGCUCAUGGUAGCACUAUGUACGAAUCUGCUUGUGAAAACUAGGGACCUCAGAAUAAUCCUUAGUUUCAAGUUCUCCUGCUUAUGAUUGAAGAGUUAUCUGCAUUGCCAUGCAAUAACAACAAUAAAACAACAAUAACAAACCUUAUAUUUAUUGAGGAUCUACUAAAUUAUGAGUUGUGUUGUAUCUUUGCCCAAAUAAAAUUCAUAAAUUGAAGUUCUAGUGCCCAUUACCUUAGAAUGUGGCCCUUUUUGGACACAGGGCCAUAGUAGAUGUAUUUAGUUAAGAUGAAGUCAUGCUGGAGUAGGGUGGGCCCCCAAUCCAAUAUUACUGGCUGGAGUCCUUCUAAAAGGAGGGAAUUUGGGCCCAGAUAUUGAUAUGGUUUGGCUUUGUGUUCCCACCAAAAUCUUGUCUCGAAUUGUAAUCCCCAUAAUCCCCAUGUGUGGAGGUCGGGAUGUGGUGGGAGGUAAUUGGAUCAAGGGGGUGGUUUCUCCCAUGCUGUUCUCAUGAUAGUGAGUGAAUUCUCACAAGAUUUGAUGGUUUUAUAAGUGUUUGACAGUUCUUCCUUCACACACUCUCUCUUGCCUGCCGCCAUGUAAGACAUACCGGCUUCCCCUUCUGCCAUGAUUGUAAGUUUCCUGAAGCCUCCCCAGCCAUGCAGAACUGUGGGUCCAUUAAACCUCUUUUCUUCAUAAAUUACCCAGUUUGGGGCAGUUCUUUAUAGUAGUGCGAGAACAGACUAAUACACACAUACUUAAGGAGAAUACCAUGUGAAGGCUGAGUGAUGUUGCCACAGCCCAGGAACUGCCAGAAGCCAGCAGAGGCCUGGAAGAGACCCUUUCCUAGAGCCUUCAGAGGGAAUCUGGCCCUGCCAACACCUUGAUCUCAGACUUCCAGCAUCCAUAGCUGUGAGACAAUCAAUUUUUAUUGUUUAAAUCCUUUGGCGGCCCUUAGAAACUCAUACACUAAGCACCAGCCAAUGUGCUAAAUUCCUUUGCAAACUUAGAGUUAUUUAAUGCUCACAAUGACCCUGAAGUCAUCUAGAGUUAGAGAUUCAUAUAAUUAUUAUGCCAUUAUACAGCUGUGCAAACAAAGGCUUAGAAGUUAAGUACCUAGUUCAAGGUCACUGAGAUAAGCUCAGCUAUUUAUCAAUAGCAGAGCAAACCAAAACAUCUGUGAUUAGAAAGCCCAAGUUCAUACACACUAAACUCCAGGCCUCUCCUAAUACAUUUCCAAGCCGGGACAAUGUUAUAUAGGUGACCCUCAUACAAUUCCCGUGCAUUAUGCUGUAGAAUUUUCACUUAAGAUAUUCCCUUAAGGUGCUCCUUGGAAAUAGAAACUUGAACAUAAUUCAUUUUAUUUUAGGUGAGACUGUGUUCAUAAAAAGAUAUCCAAGGGAAAUUUACUUUUAUCUAAUUUAUCAGAUGUGACAUUUAAAAUAAAAUAACUCAUAAACAAACCUAACAUGCUCCACUGCACAUUUUUACUGUUUCUUUUAUAAUGCAAACAUGGUAUUACACUUCUUAAAAGAAAUUAAAAUUGUAGCAUCACACAGUGCACAAAUAACAAAGAUUACAUUCUAAAAACAUUUCGUUCACAGUUUAUAUUUAUUCUUAAUAUGUGUUGAGCAACUGAAUGAAAAAAGCAUUCAACAGCUCUGACAUUCCUUUGCUAUUUCAAACAGUGGACUUACGUAAACCAA
Molecule: long non-coding RNA, 3083 nt
Organism: Symphalangus syndactylus (siamang)
Lineage: Eukaryota; Metazoa; Chordata; Mammalia; Primates; Hylobatidae
Source: RefSeq, a predicted model, not a curated record